GUGGUAGUGUUGUUGAUAUUUUUACUGCUAUAUUUGUAAAAUAAGGGGCCUAGGCUCAUUUAUUUGUCAGAUUCAAGAAUCCAUGAAUCACUUACCAUUAUCUCCCAGGCCAGGAACCUGGGGACCAAGCCUCUGGACAUAAAAUUGAACUCUGCAAUUCCCAGCCAAGACUGGCUUAGAGCAUCUCCAAAUAAUAAAAGAAAUUGCCAGACAAUGGGAGGCAAAUUACCUCGUAGCCCGUUUAACAAUAUUAAUGUGCCUUACUGAUUCACACAGAGCCUCCCGUGAACUCACUUGGAACGAUUCUCAGGAGUCCUGUAAAAAUACACGGAAGUAACACUUGGUAGCUGGGCCAGAGUACACACACCAUUGCAUAAGAGAGGAAGUCAUGCCACAAUGCCUUAGGGCUUUAUAAAGACAGUCUGCACCACUGAACACACUGGCACAGGGAAGAACGCAGUCCAGAAGUCCUUAAAAAAGUACCCAUUGUUGAACCAGGCCCUCUGAAGUUAGGGCCCCACAAGAACAAAAUUCCACAAUCCCAGCAGUGCUACCUAAUGUCGCCUGGCUCCCCGAGGUAAGGCCUCCUGUGUAGAAAAGAGCUCUCACAGCACGCCUGAGACUUCUCUUCCUAGAAAAGCCUGCUGCAGGGGAAGGAGCAGACAGGAGAAAAUAAUAGAAUAUACCAUUUAUGCUGGGAAAUGCAUUGAGUCAACUUAAUUGCUCUACAGAAACCCUGGGCUUAAAUACUAACACCAUGAAGGACAAGAGUCUGUGUCUCCCCUCCCAAGAAGACAAAACAUGGCUAACUCAAAAACCACUGGAAAAGUGAGUAAUUUCUUAUCAAAGCCAAGCCAUUCAGUAUUAUUUCUGUGGCUGCCAGUGUUGUUUCAAAUAAGUCCUAAUUUAUAUUGGAUGGUGUGGGGCCAAUGAGUUAGACUCCUAAAGUUAAGUUCUCAUUCAUUCUUUCUCACUCCUUCCUUCUCUCACUCACUAAUUCAUUUUACAAACAUUUUUUGAGUAUUUUCUGUUUAUAAUAUGCAUUUGUGUAAUGUAAAUCUUAUAUACACAGUAGACAACUGUAUAAUAAAGUUUGGCUGGCCUUUGUCCCUGGUUCUUGGGAUGUAGCCUGUGAAUUCUUGGGAUUUCUUGAGUUAUUCAUGGCAGACCUCUCAGAAUCCCUUGAUAGUGUAUGUUAACAAGAUAACUCAGGAUGGGGGUUGGCCAUGCAAGAAAGACCAGCCAUGUGAUAGAGGGUUGGGGCUUUGAGCCAAGUGACAUCAGCCCUACCUCCAGGGAAGAGAGGAGGACCAAAGAUUGAGUUCAACCUUAUGGCCAAUGAUUUGAUCAAUCACAUCUACAUGAUGAAACCCCAAUAAAAAUUUGGAACACUGAAGCUUGGGUGAGCUUCCCUGGUAGACAACACUCUGUGGGAGGAGAGAGAACACCAGAGCUGGAAUCCUUCCAGACCUUGCCCUGUGAUCUCUUCUUGUGGCUUAUUCUGAUUCGUAUCCUUUUUGCUAUAAUAAAGCUGUAAUUCUAAGCAUAGCACUUCCUGAGUUCUGUGAGUCAUUUGAGCAAAUUAUCAAACCAGAAGGGGUAGUGAGAACCCCCAAAUGUGUUACCAUAUGUUCACGGAACCCCUGAGCCUGUCGCUGGUGUCUGAAGUAAGGCCAGUCUUGUGAACGGCUGUGCUCUUAACCUGUGAAGUUUGGCCUAAAUGGCUAGUUAGCAUCAGGAGUCAUGGCGAAGCUGUGUGCGAGGUACUUUGAUAGACGCCAGGGAAACAAAUGAACAGUAUUGUUUUAGGUGACACUUUGAUCUGUACAAUCCUGACUGCUAUACUUUUGCCAAGCCUCCAAGCAUUUCCCCCAAGCUACAGGCCAGAAACUGCACAAACAGGCACCAAGUUCACUGUCUACCCUUUUGAUUAGCCCUGAACUGUCCCGCCCACCUCACCUUCUGUUCCCCCAACCACUGCAUUCCCUGUUUGCUUUCUAAUUUUUAUUUUCAUUCAUAACUCCUAUUCAACACAUUCAUUAUCUCAACUUUGGUCCUUUUUUCUUGGCGACUUUUCUUAAUGUCCAUCCCCCAGUGGUCGUUCUGCCUAGGCUGACUGUUCUCUUGGGCUCAUUGCAAUGUGGGAUCCUCCUACAAUCAUAGGAAGUGCGUGAGUCCCAGGUCAGGAAUCCAUCCAGGUCCAUCACCUCAAUAGUUGCUUCUCAUGGAUCAGCUACUCUUGAACCCCUCACCCUUUGGCUUGUUUUUUGUCUUGGUUGGGCCCUUUUGGACUGAAGUCUGGGCUCCAUACUGUCGGCCCUGCCACAGACCUUGCAUUUCUUUAGAACAUUGCUUCCAGAAUCUUCCUGUAGGCUCUGUGGACAACACCCAUGAGCAAGAGGAGCUUUGACUCAUGCUUUGCCCAGGCACCACCAUCCCACCCAGGCCUGUAUCAGCCCUGUCUGCCCAUUUCAGUCCCCAGAGAAUGUCCCUUGGGGCUCAGAACCCCCCACUCCAGUCUGUGGGUCUCCAUCCAGCCCUUAACAACCUCUCAGGUGGAUUCUAGACACUGGGUGCUCACAGGUACCAAGAGGACAUCUUUCAGCACAACUCUGGCAAUCAUCCCAGAUGAUUCUAGCAGUAUAAUGAAGCAGGUUCCAGGCACUGCAACAUUUUCCUACUAAAGGUCAACGAUUACAAUGGCAUAAAUCUGAAGCCAUUUUCAAGGAUUCAGAUUAGCACAUUUGCAUGCAUGACUGUCUGAAAAUUCAGGCUACAUUUGAUUGGUAUGCAAAUUAGCCCUAAAUUUGGCAGUCUUUUACAAUAACUUCAGGAUGUUUUAGACAGACAGGUAAGUAAGUAGAUGGAUAGACAGAAAGAUACAACUAUGCCAAUUGGAGCUAGUCACUGGAAACAGAAAGGACAAAGCCUAGACAAUCAGCAAUACAUGAACAAAAGAAAGGAGAUUAGAAAGCAAACAUCUUCAGGAAGAUUUAGGUGCUCCUAUUUAGAUGCUAUGCAGCAUAGGCUGUGGAUUAAUUAUUCAGCCAGCCAGCCCUCUGCCCAGAGGUACUAAUGACACAAGGAAUCUACAAGAGCCUCCUCCCUUUUCUAAAACCUCUAGCACAGGGGUUAGCCAACAAUUGGCCAGCAAGGGAAACCCUAGACCACCAUCUGUUUCGUAAAUAAAAUGUUAUUGGCACAUACCCUCACCCAUUCAUUUACAUAUCAUCUAUAACUGCUUUAUCUCUACAUAGCAGAGUUCAGUAGUUGCAACAGAGACCAUAUGGCCAACAAAGAAAAACCACGCACUAUCUGGACCUCCACAGAACAUUUGCUGGACCUUCACAGAACGUUUGCUGAUUCACAGAAUGCAGCAGAUCAGCCUAGUGGAACAGAAAGAAGGGAUACUCAGGAAUUAGACAGACCAGUGUCCAAGUCCCCAUCUGUGAACAUGGUGGAGGUGGUCCCAGAAGUUUUCCAUAGGACAGACUCACAGCUGGCAAUUUGUUUGAGAGUGAAGAGACCUAAGGACUUGCCUUGGACUCACUUUAAAUUUAAAUUUAUCCAUUUGCUCAUUUAGCAAAUAUUUUUUAUAAAUGCUUACAAUGUGUCAGACAUUGUUCUAGGUGCUGGCACUGCAGAAGCAAGGACCUUUCUAAAGUGAAGGGAAGGAGGACAAGAAGUAAAGGAAUAUGUCAUAUCUCAGGUAGUGUUAAAUACCAUGAGGAGAAAUAAAUUCGGUGAGGGCUAAAGCGUGAUGGAGGGGUGCCAUUUUGGAUAGGCUGGUCAGGGAAGACAUUUCUGAGGAGGGGACGUCUGAGCAGAGGCAAGAAGUAAUCAAAGGAGAGUGCACAGGAAAAUCAAGGGAAGAGCACUGCAGCCAGCAGGAGCAGCACGCACAAAGGCUCUGAGGUUCCAGCGUGCGGUGUGUUUGAGGGGCAGCAAGUGGGGAGAAGUUUGUGUAAAUGGAGAAGAGGGAGUGAGGGGGGAAAUGAUGAUGACAGAGUGGUCACAUCUGUCAUGUGUCAUGUGUCACGGCCCCAGGUACCGUGUAAGUCACCACAGUCUGGCUUGCUUUCUAGAUAUAGUGGGUUUUGAGCGGAGGGACAAUAUGAUCUUGCUUCAUUUGUCAAGGAUCCCUUUGGCCUUUGGGUGGAGACUAAACUGUAGGAACCAGAGUGGAAACAGAGAAACCAGUUAGGGUUUAGUGUAGAGAAUGAAUAGAGCCUAGCUACUGUGGUGUUCAUCUUGGUGAUCAACGCACCAGCACAGCACAGAUAACCCUGAUUUUCAACAGCUAAGGACAAUAAGAACCUCUUGCCAGUUCAUGCAAAGUCCAGUGUGCGUUUAAUAGUUCUCUGCCAUCUGGGGGAAGAAAGGACUGAAGAUCUUUCUUCAGUGCUGCCAUAACCAGGGAUGCUGCCAUAAACCAGGCCUCAUGUGGCCUAUCAGCACCUCUGUUCACAUCCCAUCCACCAAGCUGGCCAAGGACCCUUGUGGAUGCACGAGGUGCAGGUGUUCUCUUCCAAAUGAGGCAUGAAAAGUAGUCAGAUCCUGGGGAUUCUUGGAAAGUUGGGUGGCCAGGAGGCACAUCCAGGUGACUGUGUUGAGGAGAAGCCAGUGGGAAUGUUUAGGAAGUGUCCCACCCCUGAAACUUGGAUGUAUUGGGUUCCCUCAGCCUCAGUUUCCUCGCCUUUAAAAGGGGGUUAGUGAUAGCUGCCUUGCAAUAUUAUAACAAGGAUCCAGUGUGCACACAAUUCUGAACCUGGGUCAAGUGCAGAGCUGGUGCCCAGAGGCGAGUUAUUUUCAUUUUCGGCAUUACAGAAAGUUUCCAAAUAUCUGAGGAGAGAGGAGCACUGAGCGUUUUUAAGGUUGAGGCUGGGUGGCAGCAGGGCCAACGGCAGCUACUGCAUGGAUUGUUCUAACAGUGCAAGCUGCCUGCCCUGAAGGUAAAUGCCCACUGCCUGGAGUCUGUGCCCCGAUCACCUGGGCCCCCAGUUAUCUAACAGCUGGAAAGGCGAAGCUGGCUGGGCCGAGGACUUACAAGCCUGGGCCAGUGCUAAAGGCAGCACACCUUCCCAUGGGGCAGCAUCCACACACCACCCCCUGGUGGCAGCCUUUGUUCAUCAUCUCUGUGAGCAGAUACCCUCCCCGCACUCCAAAGCAGCACUAAUAUCUGCACCUCUUCUGUUCCAAGGGUUUCUUUCUCCUUCUCGAGAGCCCAGCACCCCAGGUGAAGCCUAGCUCUCACACCCUAAACCCCUGCCAGGCUUGGGUCCUUCCAGCCUGUGUUAGAUUCCAUUCCUUAGAGGCUCUGCUCUGUUCCUGGUCUCCCUGGUUCUGGGGCUGCCUCACUCACCCGUUUCUAAGCCCACUGCAAGGAGAAGAGAGAAUUCGAGGUGAUCGCUGGACGCUGGGCUGAGCUCCUCCAGCAUCACAUCUCCUUUCAUUUCGCAGCGACCUCACAAGGGGCUCGACACCAGCCCUUUACAGAGGCACCUACAUGGUGCCUGGGAUUCUCUGCAGGAUUCUGAGCUGGGAUUCUGUGCAGGCCUGCUCAGCUCACACUCAGGGCAGUUUCCACCUCGGAAGGGCCUCCCAGGGCGAGCCUUGGCCCUCAGCCUGCUCAUAGCCUGGGUGGUGCUGGAUCAUGCUCCUGUUCUGGCCUCUGCAACCUUUCUGAUCUGGCUUCAGCUCCCCUUUCCAGCCUCUACCUCUCCACCCCACUGGACCCCACAUCCAGCUACCCUUAGGUCUCCACCAUUCCCAGAAAGCCUUGAGCUCUCUCUUUCAAGCCCCAGUGAGGCCCCACUGACCUCCCCAGGUAGAAUACAGUCCUUCAGCUGUCCUGUGGCUCCAUGCAGCCUGUCUCACUGGUGAUUAUUUAUUGAGCCUCUGUCACUGCUGCUGGUCUUGGGGCACCUCGAGGACAUGGAUGUGUGUCGUUUUCAUCUUUCUACCCCAGAUACAGCAAGGUCAACACCCAGGGAAGGGCACUGAAGGAUUGCCUGAACAGCUACCCCUCUCUUCUCACAAAGCAGCACAAGUAAACAUAAAACAUCAGGACCUUUAGGCAGAGCAGGAAGAGGUUACAUGACCCCAAACCCCAUAGGGAGGGGAAGAGUUUGGGGAAUGAUUCUAGCUAAUAAUAAAGCUGUCUUCGGUUUCUCAGUUAGAUCAGGUCCUUUAUGAGAAUUGCUCUAUGAGAACCCCGAGGGAGGGAGGGGUUGGGACAGGAUUCAGACAAUCACAGGUGCCUGCUUGUAACACGAUGGCAGCAUCAUCCACCUUAUGCUUGAGCCCCUAGGGUUGUUGCAGUGAAACCUUGCUCUGUCUUUUGGUUGGUAGAUGGACAGGUAAGUAGCCCUGGGCUUGCUGUGGCUCCUCCCAUCUCCCCUUGUUCCUCUUUGCCUUUAUUGAUCAUGCCAAACUCCCCCCAUGGCUGGACUGUUGGCGCCUGCCAUUAGUGGUCAGGGGCAGGAAGGAGGGGCAGAGAGCAUGGCACGGAUCUUGGAUUCAGACAGACCUGGGUUUGAAUUCCAACACUGCCACCUCCUGGCUGUGUGAACCUGGGCAAGUUGCUUAAACUGAGCUUCUGUUUCUUUGUUCAUGAAAUGAAGGUAACAUCAGUAAUUAACUACCUUGACCUGAAUUGUGUCCCCUCCAAAAAUGUUGCAUGACAUUUUUGUUGCAAGGAUAGGGCAUGUUGAAGCCCUAACCCCGAUGUGAUGGUAUUUGGAGAUGAGGCCUUUGGGAGGUUACUGGGGUUAGCAGAGGUCAUGGGGGCGGCCUCAUGGUGGGAUGAGUAUCUUGCUCCCUUGCACUCUUCCUCCCUCUGCCAUGUACAGGCAGUGAGAAAGAGGCCGUCUGCAAGCCAGAAGGAAGGUCCUUGCCAGACAACGAAUCCACCGGCACUUUGAUUUUGGAUUUCCAGGUUGGAGAAGUAUGGGAAAAUAAAUGUCUUGCUGAAGACCCCAGGCUGUGCUGUUUUGUUACAGCCAAAGACACUGACGUCUCUGUAUUUCUGAGAAUGGAAUGCGCCUGGCAUGCAGUACAUUUUGGCAGAGUUGAUGAGCUGGCCAUCACAGUCUCUGCUCCUCUUCAAAGGCAGAGAGCACAUGCUGGGAAGUAGCUACCCAACUGGGGAUGACACUUCCCAGGCCGUGGAUCUGGGCAGAUGGCUCAGUCCUGGACUCAAGGCCUCCUCGGGGUGCUUGCUCUGGGCUCCUCUAAAGUAUGCAUGACGAGCCGUGGUCUCGAGGUUCAAAGGACACCAGGCUAAAAAGCGCCUUGUGAUGUCUCAAGACUGAACACCUUGCUGCGCAUACUGGCCACAGAGGUAGAGCUCCGAUAUCCCAAACAAGAAGUCCCAUGGCCUAACACUGCCUGGCACAGAAAGGAUCUGUUUUAAAAAUGACUGAAAAUGUGUCUGAUGCCUGGGAAACCAGAAGCCCGCCCAGGGCCAAACUCUGGCUCCACUCAUUAUGUGACUGUGGGAAAGUCAGUGAACAGUGUGCCUCAGUUUCGUCAUCUGUAAAAUGGGGAUAAUGAUGAUCCAUACCUCACAGGGCUGUCAUGAGGGUGCACUGAGCUGAUUAACGCAUGAAAAGUACAUGGAGGAGGGCCGGCACCUCAUGAGGGCUUUUUCCAUCUGUGCUCUUACUGAUGCUGCCAUAAUAUGUGUCACUCAUCUUAAGAACGGUAAAGGCCA
RNAcentral lists this long non-coding RNA (7714 nucleotides) under Homo sapiens (human). RNAcentral describes it as "HSALNT0318203". The record is from RNAcentral. Lineage: Eukaryota; Metazoa; Chordata; Mammalia; Primates; Hominidae.